GCGCAUUCUGUAAACGGCAGUUCGUCGGCGCCAUGUGGAAUGGCUUGCUUCAAGCAUGGGGCAUGCGAUAGCCGUAGUGCGUAUGAGUCACGUUUCCACCUUUUCUUUGUGUGUGUGUGUGGACUUUACCUGUGAAGUUUACCUAGACUUAUGGUACUGCGCACCACAAACAACGUCGCCUGACGUUGGAGGACCAUGGCAAGCUCCGUCUUUGGCAUAAAAUUGCGUGCCAACCUGUGAGUCUGGUGCAUCUAAUGGACAACCUCUUCGGUCCUCGGCAUACCUCGUGCAGCCUUCAUAAUCCUCCUCAAGCCUCCUUCAUAAAAGUGUUGGAUCCCCCGAUUUGCGGUCUGCAGUGACAUGCUCCUCGACCUUCAUUAUCAUACGGUGGAUUAUGAAUGGAAACGUGUGGUCAAAAAUGAGUCGUCCUCGGGUUCCUGCCUCAUGCUCGCCUUCUGGGGAAUGCAUCAUGCAGCAAAGCCCAUCAAUGUGGCCUGUUCUUCUGCCUUCACUUCUUUAAGGGACUGCCUUCUGUGUAGCUGCUCCUCACUGCCCUGUGACGAAUGGUGGACGAAGAUUGCGCGACGGUCUGUAUCUCACCUUGCCUUUUUGAGACAUGCCAACCAUCUCCGGAUCCACCCUGAGGCCGAUGAAAUGCUGCGAAAACUCCUCAGGUCAGAGUACGUCAGUGUUAUCGUACGUUGAUGGGCUAAUCUCAAUGCUUACAGAUAAUACCGCAUCUGCAAAUGCUAUGCUGAUCAGCCACUAAACAGAGAACCGUGUUUUUAGUGACUGCCAUAAUGUUGGACACAUUUGGUAAAUUAUCACAAGCGUAACGUUUCAUGCAUCGUUUUUCAUGCUUGUAUCUCACCACCAAAUACGACUGCAGUGAAAUCGUUGAACCCAUUUGCACGUAUUCCUUAGCCAUAAUAGAGGCGUUUUACGUUGUUAUGUAGGGGCAUAUUGAUGCUCUUUUGCUUUCAACUGCAUGGAAUGCUGCGCAACUUGGCUAAAUCAAUCUAUCGAUCUGUGUAACUGGGAUGCUUCCUUCAUGUGCGCACGCGUUUGCACGUGUUCUUGCCCAUCUUACGCUCUUCCAUUUCUCACAUUCACUACUGAAACCGGUGCUCCUUCUAUUUGUUCAUGAGAUUAUUGUGCAGACGCGCUUGGCAGGUUCUACUUUGUCCAAUGAAGCGAUUCAGCUGAAGCAUCGUUACGUGUGGGUAAUAUACUUCAUUUCUUCAGAAGCAGUUUUCUUGUAGUAUCCUGGUUAGAG
Molecule: long non-coding RNA, 1276 nt
Organism: Rhipicephalus microplus (southern cattle tick)
Lineage: Eukaryota; Metazoa; Arthropoda; Arachnida; Ixodida; Ixodidae
Source: RefSeq, a predicted model, not a curated record